UAGCAAGAUUAAAUUUAGAUUUAAUGUUCUCGAAACCUAAAGAGCUACCUUAAUUAUAAGAGUAGUCUUAAAAUGUGAAUGUAGCAAAAUUCUUUUUAAAUUUUAAGGUAGGAAUGAUAUUUUAUUCGUGUUAGGUGAUAGCUAGUUUUGGCAAAAAUAUAUUUAAGUAUACAAAUUAAGAAAAUUUAAAACAACGAAUAUUGUUAUAAGUAUCUUAGUUUUUCAUUUAUGUGAGGAUAAGCUCAUAUAAUUACUAUAUAAUAUUUAAUAGUUAUAAAAAAAAAGGAUUUAGGCUUGAAAUUAGUCAUGAUUGAAAGUUUGUUUUAAAAUAUUUUUGUUUCUAUUAGGUUAUGUUUGACUUAUGCUAAUUAGUUUUUGUGCUAUAAAGUAAUUGGAUUUAUGCUAAAAUGAGUAUUAAUUGUUUUGAAAUAGCUUGUAAGUUAAUUUAAAUUUACUUAAUAAAAGAGUAAUGAAAUUUAAAAAAUGUAUUUAAGGAACUCGGCAAGAAUGUGUUUCGCCUGUUUAGCAAAAACAUGGCUCUUUG
RNAcentral lists this ribosomal RNA (544 nucleotides) under Platyrhaphe swinhoei. RNAcentral describes it as "partial 16S ribosomal RNA". Lineage: Eukaryota; Metazoa; Mollusca; Gastropoda; Architaenioglossa; Cyclophoridae. The record is from RNAcentral.